This 933-nucleotide ribosomal RNA is filed under the name uncultured bacterium. Its description in RNAcentral is "bacterial SSU rRNA". It matches the Rfam family "Bacterial small subunit ribosomal RNA", at positions 1 to 917 of the family's 1533-position model. The record is from RNAcentral.
GGAUCCCAGACUUUGAUUCUGGCUCCAGGAUGAACGCUAGCUACAGGCUUAACACAUUGCAAGUCGAGGGGGAAACGACAUCGAAAGCUUGCUUUUGAUGGGCGUCGACCGGCGCACGGGUGAGUAACGCGUAUCCAACCUGCCCACCACUUGGGGAUAACCUUGCGAAAGUAAGACUAAAACCCAAUGACGUCUCUAGAAGACAUCUGAAAGAGAUUAAAGAUUUAUCGGUGAUGGAUGGGGAUGCGUCUGAUUAGCUUGUUGGCGGGGUAACGGCCCACCAAGGCAACGAUCAGUAGGGGUUCUGAGAGGAAGGUCCCCCACAUUGGAACUGAGACACGGUCCAAACUCCUACGGGAGGCAGCAGUGAGGAAUAUUGGUCAAUGGACGAGAGUCUGAACCAGCCAAGUAGCGUGCAGGAUGACGGCCCUAUGGGUUGUAAACUGCUUUUAUAAGGGAAUAAAGUGAGUCUCGUGAGACUUUUUGCAUGUACCUUAUGAAUAAGGACCGGCUAAUUCCGUGCCAGCAGCCGCGGUAAUACGGAAGGUCCGGGCGUUAUCCGGAUUUAUUGGGUUUAAAGGGAGCGUAGGCCGGAGAUUAAGCGUGUUGUGAAAUGUAGACGCUCAACGUCUGCACUGCAGCGCGAACUGGUUUUCCUUGAGUACGCACAAAGUGGGCGGAAUUCGUGGUGUAGCGGUGAAAUGCUUAGAUAUCACGAAGAACUCCGAUUGCGAAGGCAGCUCACUGGAGCGCAACUGACGCUGAAGCUCGAAAGUGCGGGUAUCGAACAGGAUUAGAUACCCUUGGUAGUCCGCACGGUAAACGAUGGAUGCCCGCUGUUGGUCUGAAUAGGUUCAGCGGCCAAGCGAAAGCAUUAAGCAUCCCACCUGGGGAGUACGCCAGUCAACGGUGAAACUCAAAUGAAUUGAACGG